GGAUUGUGGCACAGUGGCAGAGCGCUUGCCUAGCAUGUGUGAGGCACUGGGUUCGAUUCUCAGCACCA
This 68-nucleotide transfer RNA is filed under the name Marmota monax (woodchuck). RNAcentral's name for it is "tRNA.Ala". The record is from RNAcentral. Lineage: Eukaryota; Metazoa; Chordata; Mammalia; Rodentia; Sciuridae.